This 311-nucleotide ribosomal RNA is filed under the name uncultured bacterium. RNAcentral describes it as "bacterial SSU rRNA". It matches the Rfam family "Bacterial small subunit ribosomal RNA", at positions 29 to 334 of the family's 1533-position model. The record is from RNAcentral.
AGUGAACGCUGGCGGCGUGGAUUAGGCAUGCAAGUCGAACGCGAAAGCGACUCUUCGGAGUUGCAAGUAGAGUGGCGUAAGGGUGAGUAAUGCUUGGAUGACCUGCCCUCAAGACGGGGAUAACAGCCCGAAAGGACUGCUAAUACCCGAUGGUCUCCCUGGGAUGCGUCCCAGGGAGUAAAUGGUUGAUUCCGCUUGAGGAGGGGUCCAAGUCCUAUCAGCUUGUUGGUGAGGUAACGGCUCACCAAGGCAAUGACGGGUAGCCGGACUGAGAGGUUGGCCGGCCACAUGGGAACUGAGACACUGUCCUG